This 362-nucleotide transfer-messenger RNA is filed under the name Planctomycetia bacterium. It matches the Rfam family "transfer-messenger RNA". From Rfam's summary of the family: Bacterial tmRNA, also known as 10Sa RNA or SsrA, is named for its dual tRNA and mRNA-like properties. Its role is to liberate the mRNA from a stalled ribosome. Lineage: Bacteria; Pseudomonadati; Planctomycetota; Planctomycetia. The record is from RNAcentral.
GGGGGUGAACAGGACUCGACCGGGCAGGAGAAGUGAGAGUUGCGUGUCGUGGUUGGUCAGCAGGCCACGUAAAAAGCCGACUAUAAAUUCAAUUGCCGAACCUAAGUUCGCAAUGGCCGCCUAAGAACAGGUGACCCCGGAUUUGACUCUUCGCCGAAGAGAGGAAGAAUUCGGACGCCAAUUUCGGAUCGUUAGCCGUCACGUCGAAAACGCGGCUGAUUAAAUUAAGUCUUCGAAUCGCUCCAAAGAAACCGAAUCCGGAAAGGGGUCGGCGGAGUUAAAAAAGAAAAAACCGGAUACACACGUAGACGCUUCCAUGGAACCGUCGCGGGACGCGGGUUCAAUUCCCGCCACCUCCACUG